Gossypium raimondii (Peruvian cotton) is the source of this 143-nucleotide non-coding RNA. Lineage: Eukaryota; Viridiplantae; Streptophyta; Magnoliopsida; Malvales; Malvaceae. The record is from Rfam.
UGUUAAAUAUCAUCAAUUUGUAUUAUUAAAAAUUGGUCUGGUUGACAAAAUAACUAGACUGUGACACGUGACAUGUCAUGGGUACCUCAUGCUAAUGUACAAAGAUCAGUUUUUUACAGCAAAAAUUGAUGGAAUUUUUAAUU